AGGGACUUAGGUUAUAAACCCAGACCAAGGGCCUUCAAAGCCCUAAGCGGGAGUUAAAAUCUUUCAGACCCUG
This 73-nucleotide transfer RNA is filed under the name Odontobutis obscura. RNAcentral describes it as "tRNA-Trp". It matches the Rfam family "tRNA". Rfam says of the family: Transfer RNA (tRNA) molecules are approximately 80 nucleotides in length. Their secondary structure includes four short double-helical elements and three loops (D, anti-codon, and T loops). The record is from RNAcentral. Lineage: Eukaryota; Metazoa; Chordata; Actinopteri; Gobiiformes; Odontobutidae.